AGCCGUAACACAGGUGCUGCAUGGCUGUCGUCAGCUCGUGUCGUGAGAUGUUGGGUUAAGUCCCGCAACGAGCGCAACCCUUGUCAUUAGUUGCUACAUUCAGUUGGGCACUCUAAUGAGACUGCCGGUGACAAGCCGGAGGAAGUGGGGAUGACGUCAAGUCCUCAUGGCCCUUAUAGUGGGGCUACACACGUCAUACAAUGGCUGGUACAAAGGGUUGCCAACCCGCAGGGGGAGCCAAUCCCAUAAAGCCAGUCGUAGUCCGGAUCGUAGUCUGCAACUCGACUACGUGAAGUCGGAAUCGCUAGUAAUCGUGGAUCAGAAUGUCACGGUGAAUACGUUCCCGGGUCUU
Molecule: ribosomal RNA, 352 nt
Filed under: uncultured Rhodoferax sp.
Lineage: Bacteria; Pseudomonadati; Pseudomonadota; Betaproteobacteria; Burkholderiales; Comamonadaceae
Description: bacterial SSU rRNA
Rfam family: Bacterial small subunit ribosomal RNA
Source: RNAcentral